RNAcentral lists this long non-coding RNA (1169 nucleotides) under Cottoperca gobio. Its description in RNAcentral is "lncRNA (ENSCGOG00000024394.1)". Lineage: Eukaryota; Metazoa; Chordata; Actinopteri; Perciformes; Bovichtidae. The record is from RNAcentral.
AGAAAAUUAUAACAUCAGAGACAGAAAUUGGGCAACAUUUUCUUUGAAGUCUUAAACUUGUCAAUGAUUGAAUGAAACGGCACGGUGGAGAGUGCUGGUAAGGACAUUAUCAAUGCCAGACAUAGCACAGAAAAACCUACUUUGUGUCCAAAUAAGAUUAAAAAGAUGUGUUGUUAUUAACUUAUGGAUGAUUGAAGAUGAGACGUUCAAGGGCUUUGAAAAAAACCAGCAGUUUAAAAAUAUCAGUUGAUCUCAUUUAACCUUUUGAGACUUUUGUAACAAAAUACUAAAUGUAACGAGAUAAGUUUACUUUUCUAGAAAUGUGUGUUUCCAUCUUUAUAACAAUAGCGGUUCACUCCAUGGAAAUAUUUAUUUGCUUGGUACUUUAUUUUUAGGAUAAAUGACUAAAUGGAUUUAUGUUUGUUUUGCAGGACGAAGGCAGAGGAUUGAGAAACGUCUCACUGCAGGACUAUCAGGCUGGUUUCCACCACACUCACACAUCCUGACAGCAGAUAGGGGAAACAAAGCUCAACCGUUGAGAUGUUGCUGAGUCAGCCAUGACAUCAUCAUGAGAUGUGUGAGCGGCGACCACAGGCAGCGACAGACGAGGAGCGCUCUGUGUCGUGGUUUGCAGCUGCUGGUUCUUGGCAAAAUAAAAGUGCUGUGCUGUUGCCUCAGGGAAAAAUGUUCUCAAAUGUUGAAAGGAAGAACAAAUUCAAGAGGUUUUGAAAAAGGGCAGUGCUGAGGUUUUUUAGCUUUCCCGACUCUUUCCGGCUUGUGGGCUGUUUUGGCUCCAAACUCUCCACACCCAGUGAAGUCAUGCUGUUGAAAUCCCAGCUUGUGGUGAACGCAGCAAGUAACACGAGUCACAUGUUACUCAACCUCUGGAGUAACAUCUUUCUCUUUAGAGGCGAGCUGAGAAAGCCAGUUAUUAAUAUUUGAGUGAUUUCCAGGCCUCCGUAGACUUUUGUAUUUUGUCUCUUAGAUUGAUCUGCUGUACUUGUGUGUAUAAAUAAUUAAACUAUAUUUUUACAACCAUGAUCUCUUCUAUUAUAGUCAUUUUUAGACGCCUGUGUCAUUUUUCUUGUAAUUUGGGUUCCUGGCAGAUUUAUAUUGUUAAAUUAACUACACUUAAAAUUUUUAACCUUAAAAUGUAAGUUUUGGUCUGC